AAAAGAAAGAGGUAAGCGUGGCCUGACCUAGCCACCCACCAACAGGAAUAAUGGCUGAAAAAGCGGGGUCUACAUUUUCACACCUUCUGGUUCCUAUUCUUCUCCUGAUUGGCUGGAUUGUGGGCUGCAUCAUAAUGAUUUAUGUUGUCUUCUCUUAGAAAGGCAAGAAGAUAUCAGAUUGACAUCAUUUAGAAGAAUUAAGAAAACUAUGAACAUGACUGAUUAUUAAAUGUCUCAUGUUAAACAAUGCAAUGUUUGACAUCACUUUACAAACUUGGAUCAUAAACUGGCACUUUGGAUAUGGUAGAAAGUACAGAGUACCACCUAUGAAGUAUUCUUGCCAAAACAAGUGAACCUGAAGCAGAACAAGUUUCUGGAUCAAUCUACAAGGCUACUUUAAAGAAAAUCAUGAGGAUAUAUUCUGCCAAGUCCAAAGUGUGGAAAAUUAUAAAGGAUACAUGAUCUGGUUUUUCCAACAAAUAGCUAACAUUAAGAAGUGAGGUGGGGGCCGGCGCAGUGGCUCACGCCUGUAAUCCCAGCACUUUGGGAGGCCGAGGUGGGCGGAUCACAAGGUCAGGAGAUUGAGACCAUCCUGACCAACAUGGUGAAACCCCAUCUCUUCUAAAAACACAAAAAUCAGUUGGGCGUGGUGGUGCAUGCCUGUAAUCCCAGCUACUCGGGAGGCUGAGGCAGGAGAAUUGCUUGAACCAAGGAGCUGGAGGUUGCAGUGAGCUGAGAUCACACCACUGCACUCCAGUCUAGUGACAGAGUGAGACUCCAUCUCAAAAAAAAAAAAAAAAAAAGUGAAGUGGGAAAGGAGAAACUAUUACAGAAUAAAAGAGACUUAAAAGGAUAGCCAACAAAUGCAAUAUAUGAAUCAACUACAAAAGACACAUUUUUGCAUGUCUGUGAUAAAGAUAUUAAGGAAUUGUUAUUUAUUCUAAACAUUACAUGUUAGGAUUUGAAUAUGGUUUGUUUUUCUCCACCAAAUCUCAUAUUGAAAUUUAAUUCCCAGAGUGGCAAUUUUGGGAGGCGGGGCCUAGUGGCAGAUGUUUGGGUCACAGGAAUGGAUCCCUCCUAAAGGCUUGGUGCCUUUCUCUUGGUAAUGAGAGAGUUCUCACUCCCUAGAGACUAGGAUGGCUCCUUAGAAAGUGGGUUGUUAUGAAGCGAGAAUGCCCCUUGGGCUUGGCCCCUCUUCACACUUGGCCGCUUACCUGUUGACCUCUGCCAUGUUUUGACUCAGCACAAAAGCCUCACCAUAAGCUGAGCAAGAUGUCAACACCAUGCUUCUUAUACAGCCUGUGGAAUGAGCUUAUUAAACCUCUUUUCUUUAUAGAUCACCCAGCCUCAGGUAUUUCUUUUAGCAACACGAAAUGGACUAAGACACUAUAAUAAUGACUUGGCAAUAGAAAAGACUCUUACCUGUUAGAGACAAUACUGAAAUAAUUGCUGGUUAGAUAUUAGGAUACCUUUACCUUAAAAUAUUAUCUUAAAAUAUUCCUAUAGAAAAACUAAAACUAUAAAACUAAAUUAUAAAACUGAAACUAUAUAAAAACUUUAAAAAAAGCUAAAAAAUGAAGUGGGGAACAUUAAAUAAGACAGGCAAAAUGUUGACAUUUGCUUAAGAUGAAUGGUGAUCUCAUAAGGAUUUAUUAUACUCUUUAUUCUACUUUUGUGAAUAUUUAAACAUUUUUAUAAGAAGUUUCCUUUUUCCUCCCGGUGACUCUGUGUUGCAAAGUGUAAUUAAUACAAGUGAGCAAAAUUACACAAAAUAAAACACAGUGCUGUUCCUGAACCUCACCCUGGGAGAGUCUGAUUCAGCAGGUGUGCACUGGGUCCAGAAAUCUGCAUUUUAACAAAUUCCUCCAGGGAUCCUUGGGCACACUAAAAUUUAAGAACCAUUGUUUUAGAGAAGUGGUG
This 1920-nucleotide long non-coding RNA is filed under the name Homo sapiens (human). RNAcentral describes it as "HSALNT0315531". Lineage: Eukaryota; Metazoa; Chordata; Mammalia; Primates; Hominidae. The record is from RNAcentral.